ACGGGGUGCAGCAGGCGCGAAAACUUCACAAUGUGGGAAACCGCGAUGAGGGGAUUCCAAGUGCUAACACUUUGUGUUAGCUGUUCACCUGCCUAAAAAGCUGGUGAAGUAAGGGCCGGGUAAGACGGGUGCCAGCCGCCGCGGUAAUACCUGCGGCCCGAGUGGUGGUCGUUAUUAUUGAGCCUAAAGCGUCCGUAGCCGGUUCAGUAAAUCUCUGGGUAAAUCGGGCAGCUCAACUGUCCGACUUCCGGAAAGACUGCUGAACUUGGGACCGGGGGAGGUUGGAGGUACUCCUGGGGUAGGGGUGAAAUCCUGUAAUCCUAGGGGGACCACCAGUGGCGAAGGCGUCCAACCAAAACGGGUCCGACGGUAAGGGACGAAGCCCUGGGGCGCAAACGGGAUUAGAUACCCCGGUAGUCCAGGGUGUAAACGCUGCAGGCUUGGUGUUGGGGGUCCUACGAGGGCGCCCAGUGCCGGAGAGAAGUUGUUAAGCCUGCCGCUUGGGAGUACGUCCGCAAGG
Molecule: ribosomal RNA, 520 nt
Filed under: uncultured archaeon
Lineage: Archaea
Description: bacterial SSU rRNA
Rfam family: Archaeal small subunit ribosomal RNA
Source: RNAcentral